This is a long non-coding RNA of Cephus cinctus (wheat stem sawfly), 2248 nucleotides long. RefSeq lists it as uncharacterized. NCBI's taxonomy places the organism in Eukaryota, Metazoa, Arthropoda, Insecta, Hymenoptera, Cephidae. The transcript has 5 exons. The record is from RefSeq and is a predicted model, not a curated record.
AUGCAGAAACUUCUGCUCCAAAUUCUAUGGCUGAGUCUCUAUGUAUGCCAGCCUGUCCGUGGCCAUUUUGUUACUUAAAAAGUAUAUCGCAUCGAAGCGACGUGAGACGGUUACGUGACGUAGUUGUCGUCGGGUUGCUACCUGGGUUGCCGUAGUACCUAGCUGUGGGCUUAAGAGAAAAAAAACUCUGUGGGGAUGAGAGUCAAGAAACUCAGACGUGUGGAAACGCUGGGAUUCGCUGGGGAAUAUUUUACUGCUACUAGAAAAUAUUCUUAUCUACGUGUUUACAGUUCUGGUAAUAUCGAAGCCUGGACGAUUGGCAACGACUAUUUUCACGGACGACCUAACCAAGAAAUGUGUCUAGGGAUACGGUGUCUUGUUCUAUGAAACCGGGAUAGUGCUUAUUGUUAUGUAAGAAAUCCUAUGUUCUGUAGCCUUUUAAAAGUUCGUAACAAUAAUUAUAAUAUAAUAUGACGAGUGUUUACUUAAUGCUUGCUGUGGUUAAUGGAAAUACUCAAACUACGAUGGGUUCAAUCUAUUUCAGUGAAAUAUACUUAACGCUUCGAAAUCCAGUAAUAAUCGUAAUCCGACUAGUGCAGUGCUGUGCAGUUCAGUGCAAUGUAGUGCAAUGGAUGGCUGCACUGUAAUAGAUACCGUCCCCAAGUAAUCCACGAGGCUUGUGGCUUCGUGAUACCGGUUACUGAGUGGUUACUUUGCUAGUAAAUCGAGCGUGCGUACGUGUCACGCCCUACGCCUGUCAAGCGUAUUCGUCCACACGUAGGAUCCAGUGAUAAAGAUUUUCACAGGGACAGCGGGCCGUUUCGCCGCUUUACACGAGUUUUACGCAAGUUAAACCAAACUCCAUUCUACUGGCGUAGCCAGCCCCUAACAACAGAAGGAUACGUACACUAUGUAUAUACGCGUGCACGUGCAAGGCCAUGGAAUACCGUUGGGGCAUCAGGAUCCCACGUGUUUACAUCGGUAAAUCUAAUCCUAUGCGAGGCUACGAGAGGUAAUCCGCAUAAGAGCCUCCAUGUUGAAUACGAAAACGACAAGCUUCACCGUCAUAUUAUUAAGCAGGGGAUAUUUACCUUGGACGAAGUUGCACGGGGAGGAAGGAAGAAGAAGAAAAAGAAAAUUCCAUUUUCUUGGCAUCGAGGUUAACUUCGUAAUUCUCGGUGACAUAUAUCGAGCGUGCAUACACACUGUAAUUGCUAUUUAGCUGCUCUUUGAAGUAUCGAUCGAAGAAAGCAAUUUGACUGAGGAGCACUGAGUAGCAGGCGAGGCGGACCUGCAAUGUGAUUAGGUUAAUUGGCUGAUGCUUACAUUAAUAUUAAGUGGGAGUCUGGCGAGUACGAAAGCAGUCAGAAGGAAUCAGAAGGCUUCUGUGGAUAUAAUUAUAUAUAUGUAUAUAACUAUGUAAGAGAGGGUAUCAGCAGAAUGUAUAACAGAGAAGAGGGAAAACACCUUGGGGAUGAAAUGGCUGACUUUCCUCCAGGCAGAGUGAAAUUUCUUAUCGUGAAGCUCUUCGUUCUGUCGAACAAUUGGGAUCGAAGGUGGUUUGAUACUUCGAGUCUACGGUCAAAGGGACGUUUUAUCGUCGUGUGUACUAGGCAAUCACGGGAGGAUGCUUUUGAGUGACGUCACUUUUGAAUUUUCAAAAGACCCCUUUUACCCGGACCACAUUCCCAGGAGUGUUCUCGAGAGUGUCUAGUGGGUUCGCUUGGUGCUUCAGGAUUUGCGAAAUAAGGGUGCACCGUCCAAACGAUCCCAUAGAAAUGACAACGCUUUCGUGGGAGUCAUGGCUGAAGAUUAGGAAAAUAGGUUAGACGUUAAGACCUAACCUUAUCCUUCGAUAACUGUCAUCAUCAUCGAAGGCCGUUAUCAACCUCCCUUCUAGCUGGAGGAUUUCUCGUUAUCGUCAGCUACCCCAUUGUCUCACUGCCAACGGGGUUGUACCAGAUGGAUGUAAUUCUCACGGGAGCUGCCUUCGCGUUAAACCUUCUAGAAGGUUCUGACCAUAGAGCCCAGAGUACAUAGAACUGCUCGCCACCGUGCAAUUACCGGGUGACAAUUUCCUGGUGACAAUUAAGAACAAAAAAAAACUGAUAUAGAAAGAGCUAGUAAUUAUUUUUUCAUGAAUUCAAACUCACCCCAAAAAUCAAAGUUAAGGAUAACGACCCAACGUACAAUGGUUUCCAUGAUUUUUUUCUAAUUAAAAAAAAAUCCUUAUUCACGCAGCGACGAU